UGGUCGCCUGGUCGACGUGGCGUGCCAGGUUGGUGUGGAUCCACCCCGGCGCGCAGGCGUUGGCGGCGAUGCCGUGUUCGGCCCACCGACGGCUGA
RNAcentral lists this transfer RNA (96 nucleotides) under Streptomyces antimycoticus. RNAcentral's name for it is "tRNA-Pro". Lineage: Bacteria; Bacillati; Actinomycetota; Actinomycetes; Kitasatosporales; Streptomycetaceae. The record is from RNAcentral.